Mustela lutreola (European mink) is the source of this 3734-nucleotide long non-coding RNA. RefSeq lists it as uncharacterized. Lineage: Eukaryota; Metazoa; Chordata; Mammalia; Carnivora; Mustelidae. The transcript is spliced from 5 exons. The record is from RefSeq and is a predicted model, not a curated record.
AGGAGCAGAUAAGACCCUUCUUUGUCACGAUGACAGCUCUGCCCGGCGUCCACCAUUUCUCAGGUCAUCCUGUGUUACAGGGUUGCAUCUGAUUAUUUUUGCACAUAGGUUUGAAAUGUAUGAAAGAUGGUCUGAAUUUCUCGGCCCUCCUCUCGAGCAAAGCUAGUAGCACAGACCGCGGCAGGCCGUUCUUCUAUCUCUGCGAGCCGGGAGGUGAAAAGCUAAGGGAAACCUGCUCUUAUCCCCAUUUUUACACGAGGUUCUAGAAUCUGCCAGGGAACAACCUGCUUAAACCUGUCUAGGCAUAAUUAUGAACACCUCCCUUUGCUCUGCAAAGGGACAGCUGGACAGUGGAUUAUAUAGUCCUCCGAGGUACAGAGGACAUCGCAUUCAUUCCAGCCACGUUCUUACCAGAUGUGCAGAGAGCCUGGUGAGGCUGGAGAGGCGGAGGGUGAGAAAGGGAAGUGACUCGUCCACGCUCACCCGUUUUCGUCGCCUCCUGUGAUGGCACUGGAGUCCUUUGCAGUAGCAUCUUUCCGUGCACCUCGGCUGCACAGGUGGCAGUGGAAGGAGUAGUCUUUAUGUGGAAUCUGUUGUCCUCUUAGAAGGUGCCAGGAGAGCAAAUGACCAAGCUGAACCACAGAAUCGCAUUAAAAUUUCUGCUUAUAAUGGCAUGUAUCAUGUCUGUUCACAUGUCCAUCAAAGUCAAUCACAUGAUCAAGCUGGACAACAAAGGGGCAAGUAUACUUGACCUAUAAGGAGUUCUGAUACAGGUGAUAUUGGUUAUAUCUCCCACUUAGAGUGCCAUGGACCAAAUCAUAUCUCAAAGAAGCCCAAAGCUGUGUCUUUCCAGUUUAAGAGUGGGUUUCACCAAUGAAGACAUCGGAUAUGAUAUCUUCGCCACUUACACAUUUUCACAGAAGAAGACAGUCAACACUUCGGCGAUGUCAGAAAAAAAUGCUGAUCGCUCACCUGGAAAACACUGUCUCCUGAAUCCAUUCAUACUUCCCACAGUUCUUGGGCUCUUCUGGUUUUCCGGCACAGAAGGAGAGAUGCAGAGGAGCACAAGGCAUGUGUUUGGUCCUCGAUGUGUCCCUGGUCCGGGGGUACGUCUGCGCAGCCACAUCUGGGACAACCAUCUCCACUCCUGGGAGAGCUGCACCUCCUUUAUGGAAGUGAAGCAGCACACAGAGGAGAGGAGCCCAGCACCCACCAGAAAUUAGGUGUCAUUCAGCACCCCCAUUUAUUUGGGCUCCUCGCCACUCAUUCUCUGCGACAGAGGUGGCAGCGACUGCCCUGACAGAUCAUGUUUUGCUCCUCGUGGUUGAGUGGGAAUGGCUACCUGUGUGCACUUUUAUUAAGGCCGCGGACUGAACAUCUGGUUUCCGUUUCAAUCAUUUGGAUGGGAAGUGUUUCUCCUAAUGAACACCGCAGGUAGAGAGUCCCGUUUGGCCUGCAGUGCUGUUCCCACUGGCAUCCAUCGGAAGGUUGGCAAAUAAUCAUCCCCGCUGGCAGAAGACAAAGUAGCCAGCCUUCUGAACUGCUCCCCUGUCCUUCUGAACUGCAAGCCUUGUGCCCCAUUCCCGCGCUGCUGUCAAUCUCCACAGUGCUCUGCUUGAUCCAAGCUCAUAACUGGAAGCUUGUGGUGGACUCAAUCCCUUCCCAGAGGGAGUGCUAUGCUAAGGAAAACACUGCGUCCCCCAGGCAAAAGGCGGUGGUCUAAACUAGAGGCUUCCCUGUGGCUGGUUACCCCCAGUGGAGAGGCAGGAAGAUUUCUGCUCCGGGCUAUAGGAAAAGAAUGAUCAUCUUUUCUCGCCAUUAGAAAAUGUCACCAAGCUUCUUACGGCAAGUGGCACCUUGUUGUGUGUUAUGAUAACACAUUCCUCUUGGACCCUACUACCUAAUAGGAACUGGAAGGAAAGACAAGUGUAUUAAGAAAGGUGUAUUUUCAAAGCUUUAGAUUGUGUCUAAGCAAAAGGAAGCUGUGUGCAAAGGGAUUGUAUGCCUUUUCUGGGAAAGGAAAGUCCUUAGAGGUUCUUUGGGAAGGAAUGGCCAUCCUCCUUCUAACUAGAGAAAAAAGUCAUGAAGGAAUUUUUAAAUAUCUUUAUGUCCUAAUUAAUUUGUGGUCAAGUGUAUGGUCAAGAUUCUCAGUUGCAAGUGACAGAAAUACAAGUCAAAUAGAAGGCAGUAUAUACACAGGACAAUUCCAGAGUAGACCUUCAGGUACAGCUGGUUCCAGCCUAUAGAAUAGUAUCCUCAGGAACGUGGUUCCAGCCUUCAGUAUGGCCCUCUCUCUCUUGUCCUCAUCCUCAAGCAAGUACUCCCUACUUUUGGACAGAAUGUUCCACAAAAGCUCUAGGCUAACUUUCCAUCUGUUUAACCACUCAGGAAAAAGGAUUCUUUCCUGGGUCUUCAGGCAUAACUCCUGGGGCUGAUAGAGUAGGCACUGAUAGGCUCAGCGUGUAGCACGUGUGUGUUUCUCAACCAAACUUGGACCACACAUUCACUCCUGGGGCUGAGGGUGACUGUGACCCUCCCCGGAACUACCAGGACUGGGAGUCAGGGAGGAGCAGUUCCCUAAAGAAAACGAGGACCCUAGUAGCACAAGAAGAAAUGGAAGUGGAGCCGGAAAAAGCGGCAGAUGUCCACAAUCCAUACCAAAAAAAAAAAAGUAAAUUGUUGUGAGAUUCGACCAAGAACAACAAAAUCAACCUCAGCUUUUUAAGUGACUUUAAAAGAGGUCAGCUUCCAACUUCCUUUAUAGAAUUUCUGACUAUCCCACUGCUAGUAACCAAGUCAGCAAUAAAUUCUCUGUUUCUCUUACAAAUCAAAGUUGCCCAGGAACAUUUCCUGUUAAUCCCUGUUUUAGAGUAUUGUGUAAUGCCCAGAUUCUUCUUUCAGGGAUAAAGGUGACAAACCGAUUUGGAUAAAAACAAAAUAAGCAAAAUAAAACAAGAGGUUAUAGUGAAAUUUUCUGUUUUCACAUCAGAGCUUUAGCAGGAAAAUCUAUUUGGCUCAGUUAUUUUUGAAUGGAGAGCAAAUAAUGCUUCAGGUGUAAAAGGAGAAGAACCGGGGUGCCUGGGUGGCUCAGUUGGUUAAGCGUCUGCCUUCGGCUCAGGUCAUGAUCCCGGAGUCAGGCUCCCAGGCCCGCAGAGAGGCUGCUUCUCCCUCUCCCCCUGCCUCUCCUCCCUGCUCAUGUUCUCUCUCUCUCUCUGAAAUAAAUACAUACAUAAAAUCUUAAAAAAAAAUAAAAUUAAAAUUAAAAUUAAAAAAGAAGAAGAAACAAUCACUACUUAUAAUAAGGACAAUGUUACCAAGAAAAAGUAGAGGAUGGACACUCAGAAAUAGGUAACAACUCCUGUCACAGGAAGCAAGGGACAGUUUCUGUCACAAGGAGAGGAAGUGCACUGAAGGGCUAGUAAGCAAAUACUUACCUCUCCCAGUAAGGAGGUGACAUGCUCUAAAACCCAGGGACGACACAGUCCACCACAGAUUUUGUUUCACUCUGAUGCUUCACUGCAAAUAUCUCCAGGAGUUUUCAGCCACCCCAAAAGUUCUUAAAAUAAAAUUACUGGGACACCCGUGUGGCUCAGUCAGUUAAGCUGCUGCCUUCGGCUCAGGUCCUGAUCCCAGGGUCCUAGGAUUGAGUCCCGAAUUGGGCUCCUUGCUCAGCGGGGAGCCUGCUUCUCUCUCUGCCUCUACCUGUCACUCUGCCUGCUGUGUUCUCUCUCUCU